This 573-nucleotide ribosomal RNA is filed under the name Amolops hongkongensis (Hong Kong sucker frog). RNAcentral describes it as "partial 16S ribosomal RNA". It matches the Rfam family "Bacterial large subunit ribosomal RNA", at positions 1830 to 2621 of the family's 2925-position model. The record is from RNAcentral. Lineage: Eukaryota; Metazoa; Chordata; Amphibia; Anura; Ranidae.
GCCUCUUGUUCAAAUAUAAGAGGUCCAGCCUGCCCAGUGAUAUAAUUCAACGGCCGCGGUACCCUAACCGUGCGAAGGUAGCAUAAUCACUUGUUCUUUAAAUAAGGACUUGUAUCAACGGCAUCACGAGGACUGUACUGUCUCCUUUCUCCAAUCAGUGAAACUGAUCUCCCCGUGAAGAAGCGGGGAUUAACCUAUAAGACGAGAAGACCCCAUGGAGCUUAAAGCCCACACAACUCUAUGCAUUUAAAUCAAUAUAGCCCAAGAAACCUGCAAACGGCUUUAGGUUGGGGGGACCGCGGAGUAAAACCUAACCUCCACGACAAACGGGCAUACGCCCUUAUCCAAGAAUGACAAUUCUAAGAAUCAAUAAACUGAUGUUUAAUGACCCGAUUAUUCGAUCAACGAACCAAGUUACCCUGGGGAUAACAGCGCAAUCUACUUCAAGAGCCCCUAUCAACAAGUAGGUUUACGACCUCGAUGUUGGAUCAGGGUAUCCUAGUGGUGCAGCCGCUACUAAAGGUUCGUUUGUUCAACGAUUAAAACCCUACGUGAUCUGAGUUCAGACCCGGA